AGUUUAUUGUUCUCUAAUUUUAAAAUAAUAAUUCAACUUUGUUUAAUUUUUGGAUGUAUUUAGAAUAGUUCUCUCUGUUCCCUCCCUUCUUACAAAUAUACUAAACUUAAUAAUGGAGGUACCUCAUCAACGAGUUGAUAGAAAUUAAACAUUUUAUUGUUUUCUCUCCUUUAUUUAAAAAAAAAAUUGGGAUACUUACAUAGAAGAUUCCAUAAGAACAUGUAUUACUUGACAACUAAACAUGGUGCACAUAAUUUAGUGUGAUUGUUAAGAUAGAAAAGGGAGAAUAUUUAUUAAGAAAGAAAUGAGCAAAUCAUGCGUUUGAGAGGGUGGUUAUGACCAUAGGAAGUAGAGUAAAUUGGAAUAACAAACAAAUAAGAAUUAUAGAUUUUGUAGAAGAACACUGUAUGCAACAUUUUGAAUUCGAAGGAAGUUCCAGCAAAAUUAAUAAAUUCCUUUGACCAGGUUAAUAGCUAUGCUUAUGGAUUCUUGUCCAUAAAUGAAAAGACUAUAGUCAAAUACUUUUCAAAUAUUGGUAAUAAUAUCAACUUGGUGGCAGAGCGCAAAAAAGUCAUUGAGUCGUGUAUGAAUGAGGAGAAAUAUAUGUCAUAAUUUUUACAUUUAUGUCUUUAUUCAUAUUUUAACUACAUAUUAAAUGAUUAAAACAUUUUAUUGUGAUGUUAAAAUAUAUAUCUAGUAGUACCAUGACUCUAUUUGGACGUAUAGAAACCCAAGUGAAUAUCCACCUUGAUAAAAACAUGCAGUCUACUGUAUAGAUACUCAUAAAUAUAUACAACAUGUAUUUACCUAUGGGUAUACUUUAUUCAAAAAAAAUACCUUUUUUCUUUUUGUGAUUCAAUGUGAUAAUAACAAUUCAAUUUUUCUUUAAAUACCUAUAGGUAUAUAUCCCUUCCCCCUCCCCAUGUUGAAAGAAAAUCCAAUUAAAAAUAAAAUAAAUUGAAUACUAACAGAUAUAGAUAUCCGUAGGUAUGGAGAAUACUUUUUUUUAUUAGUUUAAAAAGUUUAAAAUAAAUAAAUGUAUUUUAAAAUUAAAGUAAAUUUUAGUGCUAUGUUAUUUUUUUCAUUAUAUACCAAAUUUGUAUAAAUUAUAUAAAUGUGU
Non-coding RNA from Cinara cedri, 1120 nucleotides. Lineage: Eukaryota; Metazoa; Arthropoda; Insecta; Hemiptera; Aphididae. The record is from the annotation of a GenBank genome assembly.